CGAACUCCAACUAGUGGUAGACUGUUUGCAAGAAAAUUGAGCAGUCAUGUUCAAAUUAUAUUUCCUGAUGGGGUCAUUGGUGAUGUUAAUACUUAUACUUUGUGGCUUUUCUGCAGGAUCUCCUGGGCCACAUCCAGAGCUGGUAUGCAACCGUGACGAGACGUUUAUUGACGAAUGUGGUAAUACUUGCAUCUGCAAUCAUGAAGGUGUAGCAAUGUGCGACGAUGACCACUUCAACAAUUGCUAGAAUGGCCCAAGGAUUACGAAGUAGCCUUCAAUCGGCACAUCUGUAUAGCGUUUUCAGUGUGUUCUGUAAAUUGGAUGUUUCUCCACAAUUCAGAUAAAAACAUAAACUAUAGAAAUUGAUGAUAUCAUUUAUUCUUUUGUUUCGCAGUUUGAAUUACCACAGAAAUAGCAAUAAAUAUGCAAAAUAACAAGGGGUA
Long non-coding RNA from Toxorhynchites rutilus septentrionalis, 443 nucleotides. RefSeq lists it as uncharacterized. The record is from RefSeq and is a predicted model, not a curated record. NCBI's taxonomy places the organism in Eukaryota, Metazoa, Arthropoda, Insecta, Diptera, Culicidae. The transcript has 2 exons.